UACGUAGGGGGCAAGCGUUAUCCGGAUUUACUGGGUGUAAAGGGAGCGUAGACGGCAUGGCAAGCCAGAUGUGAAAGCCCGGGGCUCAACCCCGGGACUGCAUUUGGAACUGUCAGGCUAGAGUGUCGGAGAGGUAAGCGGAAUUCCUAGUGUAGCGGUGAAAUGCGUAGAUAUUAGGAGGAACACCAGUGGCGAAGGCGGCUUACUGGACGAUGACUGACGUUGAGGCUCGAAAGCGUGGGGAGCAAACAGG
This 253-nucleotide ribosomal RNA is filed under the name Mediterraneibacter gnavus ATCC 29149. RNAcentral describes it as "[Ruminococcus] gnavus ATCC 29149 partial 16S ribosomal RNA". It matches the Rfam family "Bacterial small subunit ribosomal RNA", at positions 524 to 776 of the family's 1533-position model. Lineage: Bacteria; Bacillati; Bacillota; Clostridia; Lachnospirales; Lachnospiraceae. The record is from RNAcentral.